This 1524-nucleotide ribosomal RNA is filed under the name Bacillus altitudinis. RNAcentral describes it as "bacterial SSU rRNA". It matches the Rfam family "Bacterial small subunit ribosomal RNA". The record is from RNAcentral. Lineage: Bacteria; Bacillati; Bacillota; Bacilli; Caryophanales; Bacillaceae.
UUUUUUAAGUUUUAUCUCUGCUCAGGACGAACGCUGGCGGCGUGCCUAAUACAUGCAAGUCGAGCGGACAGAAGGGAGCUUGCUCCCGGAUGUUAGCGGCGGACGGGUGAGUAACACGUGGGUAACCUGCCUGUAAGACUGGGAUAACUCCGGGAAACCGGAGCUAAUACCGGAUAGUUCCUUGAACCGCAUGGUUCAAGGAUGAAAGACGGUUUCGGCUGUCACUUACAGAUGGACCCGCGGCGCAUUAGCUAGUUGGUGAGGUAACGGCUCACCAAGGCGACGAUGCGUAGCCGACCUGAGAGGGUGAUCGGCCACACUGGGACUGAGACACGGCCCAGACUCCUACGGGAGGCAGCAGUAGGGAAUCUUCCGCAAUGGACGAAAGUCUGACGGAGCAACGCCGCGUGAGUGAUGAAGGUUUUCGGAUCGUAAAGCUCUGUUGUUAGGGAAGAACAAGUGCAAGAGUAACUGCUUGCACCUUGACGGUACCUAACCAGAAAGCCACGGCUAACUACGUGCCAGCAGCCGCGGUAAUACGUAGGUGGCAAGCGUUGUCCGGAAUUAUUGGGCGUAAAGGGCUCGCAGGCGGUUUCUUAAGUCUGAUGUGAAAGCCCCCGGCUCAACCGGGGAGGGUCAUUGGAAACUGGGAAACUUGAGUGCAGAAGAGGAGAGUGGAAUUCCACGUGUAGCGGUGAAAUGCGUAGAGAUGUGGAGGAACACCAGUGGCGAAGGCGACUCUCUGGUCUGUAACUGACGCUGAGGAGCGAAAGCGUGGGGAGCGAACAGGAUUAGAUACCCUGGUAGUCCACGCCGUACACGAUGAGUGCUAAGUGUUAGGGGGUUUCCGCCCCUUAGUGCUGCAGCUAACGCAUUAAGCAUUCCGCCUGGGGAGUACGGUCCGCAAGACUGAAACUCAAAGGAAUUGACGGGGGCCCGCACAAGCGGUGGAGCAUGUGGUUUAAUUCGAAGCAACGCGAAGAACCUUACCAGGUCUUGACAUCCUCUGACAACCCUAGAGAUAGGGCUUUCCCUUCGGGGACAGAGUGACAGGUGGUGCAUGGUUGUCGUCAGCUCGUGUCGUGAGAUGUUGGGUUAAGUCCCGCAACGAGCGCAACCCUUGAUCUUAGUUGCCAGCAUUCAGUUGGGCACUCUAAGGUGACUGCCGGUGACAAACCGGAGGAAGGUGGGGAUGACGUCAAAUCAUCAUGCCCCUUAUGACCUGGGCUACACACGUGCUACAAUGGACAGAACAAAGGGCUGCGAGACCGCAAGGUUUAGCCAAUCCCACAAAUCUGUUCUCAGUUCGGAUCGCAGUCUGCAACUCGACUGCGUGAAGCUGGAAUCGCUAGUAAUCGCGGAUCAGCAUGCCGCGGUGAAUACGUUCCCGGGCCUUGUACACACCGCCCGUCACACCACGAGAGUUUGCAACACCCGAAGUCGGUGAGGUAACCUUUAUGGAGCCAGCCGCCGAAGGUGGGGCAGAUGAUUGGGGUGAAGUCGUAACAAGGGUAACCGAAAAAA